UAAUACAUCGGAACGUGUCCCGUGGUGGGGGAUAGCCCGGCGAAAGCCGGAUUAAUACCGCAUAUGCUCUACGGAGGAAAGUGGGGGACUCGCAAGGGCCUCACGCUAUGGGAGCGGCCGAUGCCCGAUUAGCUUGUUGGCGGGGUAAUGGCCCACCAAGGCGACGAUCGGUAGCUGGUCUGAGAGGAUGAUCAGCCACACUGGGACUGAGACACGGCCUAG
RNAcentral lists this ribosomal RNA (222 nucleotides) under uncultured bacterium. RNAcentral describes it as "partial 16S ribosomal RNA". It matches the Rfam family "Bacterial small subunit ribosomal RNA", at positions 111 to 334 of the family's 1533-position model. The record is from RNAcentral.